This 292-nucleotide ribosomal RNA is filed under the name Gammaproteobacteria bacterium. RNAcentral's name for it is "partial 16S ribosomal RNA". It matches the Rfam family "Bacterial small subunit ribosomal RNA", at positions 24 to 299 of the family's 1533-position model. Lineage: Bacteria; Pseudomonadati; Pseudomonadota; Gammaproteobacteria. The record is from RNAcentral.
UCAGAUUGAACGCUGGCGGCAGGCCUAACACAUGCAAGUCGAACGGUAACGGACCGCUGGGAUCCCUUCGGGGUGACCUUGGUGCCGACGAGUGGCGGACGGGUGAGUAACACGUAGGAAUCUGCCCAACAGAGGGGGACAACCCGGAGAAAUCCGGGCUAAUACCGCAUACGCCCUACGGGGGAAAGCGGGGGAUCUUCGGACCUCGUGCUGUUGGAGGAGCCUGCGUCGGAUUAGCUUGUUGGUGAGGUAAUGGCUCACCAAGGCGACGAUCCGUAGCUGGUCUGAGAGG